Micropterus salmoides (largemouth bass) is the source of this 746-nucleotide long non-coding RNA. RefSeq lists it as uncharacterized. Lineage: Eukaryota; Metazoa; Chordata; Actinopteri; Centrarchiformes; Centrarchidae. The record is from RefSeq and is a predicted model, not a curated record. The transcript has 4 exons.
CGGAAAUGAUGUCGAACUGUCGUAAAACAGUGGCUGUUCCCUCCUCCCCCGGGCAAACUGUCAGUGCAACCUGCAGCCCGCGGGAAGGUGGACUUAUUAAGUCCUGUAACCUGUCCUUAAGAAGAGGGGAGCUGCAGCGAAUACACUGAGAAUUCACAUCCAGGCCUCUGAAGACACUUUCUUGGUUGAAAAGGUUGUGUAGGUGUGUCUGGCCAGCCCUACAUUCAGAGGUGCAACACCUUCGUAGAAGAGUCUGGAAGAGAGAUGAAGAUGCAGAGGAGGAGAUGAAACAUCCUGGAGGGAUCAUUGUGCUGAAGGAUUACGAGGGGAGGAUUUCAGCUGACUGUUUUCAUCCUCUGGUCAUCUGCUUGGAUGUCUUGGAAUAGAUCAUCUGACUUCUGAAGGACAGCAUUUACCUGCAUGGAUCUGCUGGAUUAUUACCUGAGCGACACCUGGGCAGACUGCUGUUAUCGAUUAUUACAGAUUAGUUCCUUAUGAAUGGGCUGUUACCUGAAGUCUCUUCCUGCGUUGCGUUCACUGGUGAGUUAUGACAAUUUAUAUGAUAAAUAUUACAGAUAUAUAUUGAGUUCUCUCUUCUUUUUCACAGUUUCUUUGUGUAUCUCUUAGACAGCCCUUGCCUUUCCUGUGCCUGAGUUAAAUUAUGGUUGUUCCCUGUAGUCCUGUCUUUGUAGCGAAGAACAUGAAUGAAAUUUAUAUAAUACAUAUUAAAUUUGUUGUCUUAUGUA